GCCGAAAGUGUGUGAGUUUCGUCUCUGGACGAGACCUUCGGCCGCCGAAGGUGCCGCCGAACAUGCAUGAGUUUCGUCUCUGGAGAGGGGUUUCGGCCGCCGAAUCUGCCGCCGAAAGUGCCCUGUCCAGCUUUCUUUUGCAUGUUUUAUGUGAUGGUUUGAGGAUUGUUUAGAGGGGUUUUGGGGAGUUUCGUAGAGAUGUUCUUGAGUGCGUUUAGUCCCUCAUUUGAGUCCACC
RNAcentral lists this long non-coding RNA (237 nucleotides) under Manihot esculenta (cassava). RNAcentral describes it as "long non-coding RNA (MESC_LNC013059)". Lineage: Eukaryota; Viridiplantae; Streptophyta; Magnoliopsida; Malpighiales; Euphorbiaceae. The record is from RNAcentral.